AUGAAGAAGGAGGAGCCCGCGUCACCGCCGCGCUCCUCCCGUCGAGCCCCCGUCCUGGCCCCCUUCACCAUCAACCCUAGGCCCGCCGGCGAGCGCGACCGGCAGUACCUCGCGGUGGACGUGUGCCGGAGGUACUGGGAGACGAGGACGCCGGUCCCGUGGAGUGACAUCCACCUCCCCAACGGAUGGCACCUCGCCGACCGGGUCCCGAUCCCUCCUGUGCUGGCGAGCGGCCGCGCGCGCCGCCCGAGCGCCGCCGCCGCCUCCUCCCGGACGACCUGUUCUACGACGACAGCGGAGGAGGAGGCCCGUCUCCUCAAGCGUGUCAUGGACGACUCCAUGUACACGCACGACGAACGGCAGUGGGACGGCCUGGAGGAGGCCAUGGCCCUCUCUGCCGCCAGGGACAUCGCCUUCCCGGAGCUGCAGAUGGUGGCUGUGGAGGAGAGGAGGAAGGCGCCGGCCGCGUUCCAGCAGCUGCUGGGCAAGGGGUGGGGCUGGUCCUGCACUGCUCCGGAGAUGGCCGCCGGCAUGGGCGUGAACUGGUGCCCCACUCCGCCGCGGUCACCGGAGCGGGAGGCGUCGCCACGGGAGGAGGUGGUGCAGGCACCUCCAGCCGUCCAGCCCGACCCCGUCCACCACGCACCUCCGGCCCACCUGUGGACGCCGCCGGCCUACGUCGACCUCGUCAGCGACGACGACGACACCGACGGUCAGUGA
Molecule: ribosomal RNA, 720 nt
Filed under: Triticum aestivum (bread wheat)
Lineage: Eukaryota; Viridiplantae; Streptophyta; Magnoliopsida; Poales; Poaceae
Description: partial small subunit ribosomal RNA
Source: RNAcentral